RNAcentral lists this ribosomal RNA (389 nucleotides) under uncultured bacterium. Its description in RNAcentral is "bacterial SSU rRNA". It matches the Rfam family "Bacterial small subunit ribosomal RNA", at positions 30 to 414 of the family's 1533-position model. The record is from RNAcentral.
AGUGAACGCUGGCGGCAGGCCUAAUACAUGCAAGUCGAACGGCAGCACAGCAGAGCUUGCUCUGUGGGUGGCGAGUGGCGGACGGGUGAGGAAUACGUGGGAAUCUGCCCAGUCGUGGGGAUAACGUAGGGAAACUUACGCUAAUACCGCAUGCGCCCUUCGGGGGAAAGCCGGGGACCUUCGGGCCUGGCGCGAUUGGAUGAGCCCACGUCGGAUUAGCUAGUUGGCGGGGUAAAGGCCCACCAAGGCGACGAUCCCGUAGCUGGUCUGAGAGGAUGAUCAGCCACACUGGAACUGAGACACGGUCCAGACUCCUACGGGAGCAGCAGUAGGGAAUAUUGGACAAUGGGCGCAAGCCUGAUCCAGCCAUGCCGCGUGAGUGAAGAAGG